Molecule: long non-coding RNA, 746 nt
Organism: Hordeum vulgare subsp. vulgare (domesticated barley)
Lineage: Eukaryota; Viridiplantae; Streptophyta; Magnoliopsida; Poales; Poaceae
Exons: 3
Source: RefSeq, a predicted model, not a curated record
CACAUCUCACAGGCUCGACGGCACGCGCGAUGCGGCAUGGAUUAACAACGCGGCUGCCGAGACCGUCUUUUUGCCCAUCUGGUUCAGCCACGGCCAUCAACGAGCACAACAGGGAUUAGCAGUGAGAUUGACCUACAUAUGUGUCUACAUACUGAAGAAAGAUGCAUCCGAGGAAGUUGUAAUGAUGGUUUCUACAGAUAGCUUACUGGAUAAUGGCUGAACCCCAUGAACAAUUUCAGCCGACAUGCACAAAUCCGCACAAGUUCAUGUGGUGAAAGCACUCGUGGCUGGUAGACAACACUUUAGAAGAUUCGGAAUACAAAAAAGACUACCGUGUCGCUACCCUCGCAGGCGACCUAAAGACGCUACCCUCGCAGGCGAACUAAAGAGCUCCCGCCGCCGCCAUCCAGGAACCCCACCUCCCGCUCCUCCUCCCCUCGCCCCCUCCAGCAGGCAUUGUUGGGGCAAAGCCCUCGCGGUGUGGGCGGCGGCAGGACGGUCUCCCUCCUUGGCAGAUGUGCGGCAGCGUGGGGCUUGCUUGCAUGUUAGGACGUGUUUGGUAGCCUGCACUAAGGGUGCAUGAGAGCAGCAGUUUCCUUCUCAACCCACUUUUAUCUCUUUGGUAGGGUGUAAGAGCCCUACCCGGUAUGGUCCAUCUGAUGCAAAAAAGGGGAUGGAUGUCCGCGUCGCCUGUCCAGGAACAUGUAUUUACUCCUUAUGCUUGUGCUAGUGAUAGAAAUAGUGAU